CGGGCGGCUGCUUACCAUGCGAGUCGAACGGGCGUAGCAAUACGUCAGUGGCAGACGGGUGAGUAACGCGUGGGAACGUACCUUUUGGUUCGGAACAACUGAGGGAAACUUCAGCUAAUACCGGAUAAGCCCUUACGGGGAAAGAUUUAUCGCCGAAAGAUCGGCCCGCGUCUGAUUAGCUAGUUGGUGAGGUAAUGGCUCACCAAGGCGACGAUCAGUAGCUGGUCUGAGAGGAUGAUCAGCCACAUUGGGACUGAGACACGGCCCAAACUCCUACGGGAGGCAGCAGUGGGGAAUAUUGGACAAUGGGGGCAACCCUGAUCCAGCCAUGCCGCGUGAGUGAUGAAGGCCCUAGGGUUGUAAAGCUCUUUUGUGCGGGAAGAUAAUGACGGUACCGCAAGAAUAAGCCCCGGCUAACUUCGUGCCAGCAGCCGCGGUAAUACGAAGGGGGCUAGCGUUGCUCGGAAUCACUGGGCGUAAAGGGUGCGUAGGCGGGUUUCUAAGUCAGAGGUGAAAGCCUGGAGCUCAACUCCAGAACUGCCUUUGAUACUGGAAGUCUUGAGUAUGGCAGAGGUGAGUGGAACUGCGAGUGUAGAGGUGAAAUUCGUAGAUAUUCGCAAGAACACCAGUGGCGAAGGCGGCUCACUGGGCCAUUACUGACGCUGAGGCACGAAAGCGUGGGGAGCAAACAGGAUUAGAUACCCUGGUAGUCCACGCCGUAACGAUGAAUGCCAGCCGUUAGUGGGUUUACUCACUAGUGGCGCAGCUAACGCUUUAAGCAUUCCGCCUGGGGAGUACGGUCGCAGAUUAAAACUCAAAG
RNAcentral lists this ribosomal RNA (820 nucleotides) under uncultured Rhodopseudomonas sp. RNAcentral's name for it is "bacterial SSU rRNA". It matches the Rfam family "Bacterial small subunit ribosomal RNA", at positions 36 to 906 of the family's 1533-position model. The record is from RNAcentral. Lineage: Bacteria; Pseudomonadati; Pseudomonadota; Alphaproteobacteria; Hyphomicrobiales; Nitrobacteraceae.